This is an RNA transcript of Symphalangus syndactylus (siamang), 1136 nucleotides long. It is a transcript of the gene named UPF0764 protein C16orf89-like, with no coding region annotated. The record is from RefSeq and is a predicted model, not a curated record. NCBI's taxonomy places the organism in Eukaryota, Metazoa, Chordata, Mammalia, Primates, Hylobatidae.
AUGGAGUCUUGCUCUGUUGCCCAGGCUGGAGUGCAGUGGCACAAUCUCGGCUCACUGCAACAUCCACCUCCCAAGUUCAAGGAUUCUCCUGCCUCAGCUUCCCAAGUACCUGGCACUACAGGCACACAUCACCACACCCAGCACUUUUUAUUUUUUUUCUUUUUUGAGAUGGGAUCUGGCUCCCCUGCCCAGGCUGGAGUGCAGUGGCGCAAUCUCAGCUCACUGCAACCACCACUUCCCGGUGUGUCCGGAAUUGGUGGGUUCUUGGUCUCACUGACUUCAAGUUUGAAGACGUGGACCCUCGUGGAACACGAGAUAUGAUUCAAGUCUUCGCAUUUGAAGUUCUCUUUGCCUGAAACACCCUUCACCAUAGUCCCAUCUGGCAAGGAACUGAAGAUGUCCUCCAGUCAACAGACAGCAAGGAAUUAAGCCUUUUACAUCAACAAUCCUUGAAGAAAUUAAUCCUGCGAACAACACCUAAGUGGGCUUGGAUCUGGAUCCUUCCCCAGUCAAUUCUUCAGAGGAGACUUAAGCACCAGCUGGUAUUUGGGUUGAAGCCUUGUGAGACACCCUGAAGCAAAAAACCCACGUAAGAAACCAACAGAAACUGUGAAAUAGUAGAUGUGUGUUGCUUUGAGCAACAAAGUUUUAGGGUAAUUUGUUAUGGAAAAAUAAAUAUUAUAAUGUGCAUGAAUAAACUUUUGUUAUUCAAACUAACCAUUAUAAUCAUUGGCUAUAUAUAAUGUAGUCUUAAAUGGGAGAGGCCUUUGAAUUGACUUUCUUUGAAUAAUCUUUUGCUGACAUAUGUUUUCCAUGCUGGCAGAAUUAAUAGUUAAUGUAUAGUAAUUCCUUUACUAGUAAUAGUCAUACACAUUUCCAAAUGACAUGUAUUUAUUGGAAUAUUUUGAAUCAAUAAAGUUAAUAUGAAGAAUAUUUGGGUUUUAACUACUUGAUUCCUCUAUUUGAAAAAGUUAUUACAAUUUAAUGAAUCUCAUAUUGUAUAUUUGCAUAGGAUUUUCAAUUCAGAUUUCUUUGUAAAAAAAUAUUGUAAAUGAAGUAACCCUCUGACAAAUAAAUGUGGAUUUUGUCUGAAAGCAGAUCAAAUAAAUGUGUUUGGUUAUAUGGGACCCCUAAGA